GAAUUUUUCUCAAUGGGCGAAAGCCUGAAGGAGCGACGCCGCGUGGGGGAUGAAGGGUUUCGAUCCGUAAACCCCUGUCAUUCGUGAACAAUGCUCAUUAUUUAAAAGAUGGUGAGUUGAUAGUAACGGAAGAGGAAGGGACGGCUAACUCUGUGCCAGCAGCCGCGGUAAUACAGAGGUCCCGAGCGUUGUUCGGAUUCACUGGGCGUAAAGGGUGCGUAGGUGGCAUGGUAAGUUUGAUGUGAAAGCUCAGAGCUCAACUCUGAAAUGGCAUUGAAUACUACUGUGCUGGAGGUUUGGAGGGGGGACUGGAAUUCUUGGUGUAGCAGUGAAAUGCGUAGAUAUCAAGAGGAACACCAGUGGCGAAGGCGAGUCCCUGGACAACACCUGACACUGAGGCACGAAAGCUAGGGGAGCAAACAG
RNAcentral lists this ribosomal RNA (423 nucleotides) under uncultured bacterium. RNAcentral describes it as "bacterial SSU rRNA". It matches the Rfam family "Bacterial small subunit ribosomal RNA", at positions 359 to 775 of the family's 1533-position model. The record is from RNAcentral.